This 253-nucleotide ribosomal RNA is filed under the name uncultured bacterium. RNAcentral's name for it is "partial 16S ribosomal RNA". It matches the Rfam family "Bacterial small subunit ribosomal RNA", at positions 524 to 776 of the family's 1533-position model. The record is from RNAcentral.
UACAGGGGGGGCAAGCGUUGUUCGGAAUUACUGGGCGUAAAGGGUUCGUAGGUGGCCACUUAAGUCAGACGUGAAAUCCCUCAGCUUAACUGGGGAACUGCGUCUGAUACUGAGUGGCUUGAGUGCAGGAGAGGGAUGCGGAAUUCCACGUGUAGCAGUGAAAUGCGUAGAGAUGUGGAGGAACACCGAUGGCGAAGGCAGCCCCCUGGGCUAACACUGACGCUCAUGCACGAAAGCGUGGGGAGCAAACAGG